Molecule: long non-coding RNA, 5878 nt
Organism: Mirounga angustirostris (Northern elephant seal)
Lineage: Eukaryota; Metazoa; Chordata; Mammalia; Carnivora; Phocidae
Exons: 3
Source: RefSeq, a predicted model, not a curated record
AACAAACAAACAAACAAAAACAAAAACCCCAAAACACCGGGUUUGGAGAGUUUCCUGGUUGGUGAACAGGUGGAGGUGCUGGAAGAGGGCAUAGAAACUCUGCAUCCUUUCCUCAUGCCCUGUCCUAGGUAUCUCUUCUAUCUGGCUCUUCCUGAGUUAUAUACGCUUUUAUGAUAAAUUGCUGAUCUGGUAAGUAAGAUGUUUCUUUGAGUUCUGUGAGCCUCUCUAGCAAAUUAACUGAACCUGAGUAGGCGGUCAUACGAACCUUUCACUUAUAACCAGUCAGUCAUAAAUAUAGGGAAAAACCUGGACGUGAGGUUGGCAUCCCCGGUUGGAGGGGGGCUCCUUAGAACCUCCAAUUUUUAGUCGGUUGGUCAGAAUGCAGGUAACAGCCAGGGUUUGCAACUGGAAGCUAGAGUGGUGUGGGGGUGGGGGCAGUCUGGUAGGACCGAGUCCUCAACCUGUGGAAUCUGGAGCGAUCUCCUGGUAGACAGUGUCAGAAUUGAGUUGAAUCCUUGGACACCUUACUUGUGUCCUAGAAUUGCUUGGUGUUGUAUGGAAAGACUCCCCCAGCCCCAUUUUCAAGUUGAGUCUCAGAACACUGGAAGGGGCUCCAUCCAGCCCUUGAGAAUGCUGGAUCAUGCACCUGGAGAAAGGCUCUUCCACCUGAGGGUUUGGCAAUCCUCCAGCAUUCGAGGCGCCCAGGGUACGUGACGUCAGCUCCUUUGUGUUCACGCUGCAAAGCCAGCCACCGGCUCACAGUGUUGCAGGCAUAGGAAACCGCCUUGGCUUUUCAAUUCGGCUUGCUUGGCAGAUUUUCUAACAUCAGCUGCCGGACUGGGAAAAUCUGCUGGGUAGAUGAAAGAGAGUGAAAGCUGUAGCUGCUCCACGAGAGGCCGUAUUACCAGCAAACUCCCUCUGGUGCUAUGUGUGCUUGCCUCUUCUUCCUAAGAACACCUCCUUGUAGUUACCCUGAAAGGCAAAGAGCAGGGCUGGAGCAAGAAAUGUCUGUUGACACUUGUCAGAGUGGCCUUCCAGAAGGAGAACACCUCUUGCCCUUUGGGAAGAUGGAAUAUAUAAUCCACUGUGCCUUCGUCCAAGGAGUCAGCAGCAACCUGUUGGCUCACACGUGGCAUCCGCCAUAGCAGCUUCACCCACUCGCUGGGCCACUGCAGUCGUGGAGAUGGCAGUGGUGAUGCUGUCGUCAAGAAGCAGCUGACUUGCCGAGUCCCGGCAGCAGAAUGGGCUGGAGGGGGAGGUGAGGCCAGAGUGGGAGCUUUGAGAGCCGGGAGUGUUGGUAUCGGCUGGCUUGGCCCUGCCACUGCCGAGACGGAAACACUAAGGUGUUGCUUGAUUUCUUUCUUAGGUUUUUCCUUGCCUUUCUUUUUUCUUUUCCCUUUCAAGUAGGACUCUUUAGUGGCCCAGCCCGGAGAAGGAUUAUUUGAAGCAAAGAAUAAAUUGUUGUUGUUGUUUUUUUAAGAUUUUAUUUAUUUACUUGACAGAGAAAGACAUAGCAAGAGCAGGAACACAAGCAGGGGGAGUGGGAGAGGGAGAAGCAGGCUUCCCGUGGAGCAGGGAGCCCGAUGCGGGACUCGAUCCCAGGACCCUGGGACCAUGACCUGAGCCGAAGGCAGACGCUUAAUGACUGAGCCACCCAGGCGCCCAAGAAUAAAUUGUUAAAGCUAAAUUUUAGGCUUCAUGACGGAUAAAUAUUUGGAUAAAAGGUAUCUGGAAAGUAUACCCUGAAUAAGUGCGUGAAAAUCGGCAUGGGGGAUUUUUUCAUUGAAAGAGAAGCGAAAAAAGAGAGGGCAGAAGACAGAGGCUGGGGCACCUGGAAAAGUCUUUGCAACGUGCUAGGGUUGCUGCUAACUCAGGAGAAACACUGCUUUACUGUACUGAAUCUAUCCUAGAAACAACAGGCUCAAUAGCUCCUUUCAUUACCUGGGAGCGUAAUUCAUCCCUGGCAUUCUUUCUGCAUGUUUUGAAGGCUGUUCUCAGAUGGAAUAUAAAAUGCUUUAGAAACCAAUUUUAGUAAUUGGCAGCAUCAUAUUUUUUAUAUUCUUGCUGAAGGGACUUAGGGUGAACAGUGGGUCAAUUUUAUCUUUUUUUUUUUUUUUUUUUAGCCAAAAGGGCACAUCACUCAGCAGAAUACUUAGUGGCUAUGAGAGUGAAAACCAGUUCCCCCAGCAUAAGGUGUGAGCAACAUAUUGGAUUAGAAAGCAUAAUAUGCUUUCUUUCAUGAAAUAGGCCUAAUCAAUAUACUUUUUAUACUUUAUCAGGAUCAUUCAUCAAUUAUUAUUUAUUUUUUUUUAAAGAUUUUAUUUAUUUUUUUGACAGAGAGAGACACAGUGAGAGCAGGAACACAAGUAGGGGGAGUGGGAGAGGGAGAAGCAGGCUUCCCGCGGAGCAGGGAGCCCGAUGUGGGACUCGAUCCCAGGACCCUGGGAUCAUGACCUGAGCCGAAGGCAGACGCUUAACGACUGAGCCACCCAGGCGCCCCUCAUUCAUCAAUUAUUGAUGAAACACUAGGCAAAGCUUUUCUUGAGAGCGUUAGAAACUCUGGCUGGAGUUGCAGCCCUGGGAUCUGGGAUUGUAUCUGUGAAUGUUAUUCUGCAAAAUACCCUGAGCACUCACUAUGGGCCCAAAUGAAGAGUGUCACUGGGUCUCAGAAAUGCACUUGUUUGGGGAAACAUUUAAAUAUCUCUGCUGGAACGAGGGUCACAUAAUCAUUCCAUCACGCAAUGCUUACUUGUAAAGGGAAUGGGGAUGCAGUCUCACUGAGUGCAGGGUUGUUUCCAAGCAGAGUUUUUAAGGAUAAGGAAGGCUGGCUCCUUAGGUUCUUACCGUGAGUAGACAGGAUGGGAUCUGGGCAACAAGGGGAAGAAUUGGCCUCAGUUAGGAGCACAGAGAGUUCACCUGUGGUAGCAGAGGGGAAGGCAGAGAAUUGGAGCACGGAUGCUGGUGGGCAUAUACAAUGGGAGCGUGUGGAAGUCCUCUUAUAAUGCAUUCCGUUUCAUUAAUGAAAUAAGAAAGGUGUGGGUUAAGAAUGAGUGUGAGGCAGUAGAUAUCAGAGGUAUGGUAUGAGGGAAAAAUUAAGUAUGAAGUACUUAUCUGCAAGUGUUCCCAUGUAAGAAGUCUUGGAUUCUUUUUAGUCUAGGUUACACUCACCAACUUUCCCCGUUGCACCCACUACCUAUCCCUAGCAUCCUGAUUAUCAAUAUUAACUAGAAGCCAGUGAAGAAAGAUUGAAUGUCAAACUUGACAAGAUGCGUGAGAGAGGAAUGUCAUAGGGGACGGACAUGCAAGACAAAGAAUGGUUAAGCCCAGGAUCGAUUCUUCCAAGCCCUCAGGGGCUGAGAGAGAGCUCUGUUUCUGUCACUUAAAAUUACUCAUUUUCAUGUUUACCCCAGUGCCUCAGAAGACACCAGUUUAGUUCCAGGGGUGAAAGUUGGGGCAGAGGCACUUUUUCUGGAUAGACUGAGUACUGUAAACCAAUUUUCUCUGACAGGCAUUGCGGGGAAUCUGGAGAUCAAAAAGACUCGGUGUGGGGCACCUGGGUGGCUCAGUCGGUUAAGCGACUGCCUUCGGCUCAGGUCAUGGUCCUGGAGUCCCGGGAUCGAGUCCCGCAUCGGCCUCCCUGCUCGGCGGGGAGUCUGCUUCUCCCUCUGACCCUCCUCCCUCUCACGCUCUCUGUCUCUCAUUCUCUCUCUCGCAAAUAAAUAAAUAAAAUCUUAAAAAAAAAAAAAAAGACUCGGUGUGAGUCCAAAGUUACCUUCCUUCUCUUCAGAGCUUCUGAUUCUACGUGAGGUAGAGUAUCAGCUACUGAGUUAGGAGUAUAAAGAACAAAUACAUUGUAACCAGAGGGGACACAGUGUACAUUUGUUCCCUGGGAGUAGUGGAAGCUCUCAGUGAAAUGGAGAACAAGGUUAUUACCAGAGACAGGAGUUAAGUUCAUAGGAGAAGUUUAAAAAGGGAAGUGUGAAAUAGUCAUACGGAACAACUGAAUGGACUAGGCAGAGUAGUGUGAUUACCACUUAAAGAACCACCUGAGGCUCAUGGUCAUGAAUUUAAAGUAAGACCAGUCAGAGCGUACAGGAAGAGAAGUGGACUGGAUUUAACCAGGUUUGUGAUUUUGAUAAAUAAAUAAAUAAGUACACACACAUACACAUACACACACACACGCUAGGGAUCGAUGAUGGGAUGAGAUGGGGAGAAUUGACUAGGGGAGCUUCAAUCAAAAGAAUGCAAGAAUUCUUACACUGAGGCGCUUGUGGAUAACUACUUCAUCCUUUUCCUCUCUUCUCAUGCAUUCAAUCUCCCUCUUUUUCCCCCUCUCUCUCUUCACACAUACACACACACACACAGUUUAAAUAUAUAAAUUAUAUGUAAUAAAGAGGGGAAAUAAAAGCAUAAAUUUGUAUUUUCCUAUAUUUGCAUAAAAGAAACCCCAGAAAGAUAUACUAAAACUAAUACAAAUGGUUACUUACCCAAAUGCUUACUAAUAGGAGGGUAGGGGGACAGAGAUGGAGUCCUUCCAGUCCUUCAAAAAUUCUUCCCAAAAAUAGUAGAGGGCAGAAUAUGUUCCAACUUACACUAUGAGGCUAGUAUUACCCUGAUAUAGAAUCUAGAGAUAGACAUCACAGGAAAACUACAGACUAAUAUCUCUUAUUGUUAUAGCCACAAAAUUUCUCAAGGAAAAACUAGCAAACUAAAUCUGGCAGCACAUAAAAAGGGUUACAUACCAUGGCUAAAUGGAGAUUUAUUCCAGGAAUGCAAGACUGGUUCAACAUACGAACAUUAAUCAUUGUAAUACACUUUAUUAAAAGAAUAAAGGACAUAACCCAUACAAUCAUCUUAAGAUGCAGAAAAAGCUUUUGACAAAAUCCAAUGCCCUCUCAUGAUAUAAACACUUAACAAAAUAGGAGUAGAAGAGAACUUUCUCAACAUUUAUGAAAAACCACAUUAUAAAAAACAUUUAUGAAAAACCCAUAGCUGCCGUCACACUUUUCCAUUAUUAUUAUAUUUGUUAUGGUGUUCUGCGCUCGGUGAUUACAGAUUGCUGAAAGCUCGGAUGAUGGUUAGCAUUUUUAGUAAUAAAGCAUUUUUUUUUUAAAGAUUUUAUUUAUUUAUUUGACAGAGAGAGACACAGCAAGAGAGGGAAUACAAGCAGGGGGAAUGGGAGAGGGAGAAGCAGGCUUCCCGCGGAGCAGGGAGCCCGAUGCGGGGCUCGAUCCCAGGACCCUGGGAUCAUGACCUGAGCCGAAGGCAGACGCUUAACGACUGAGCCACCCAGGCGCCCCAGUAAUAAAGCAUUUUUUAAACAUUUUUUAUUGUUAUGUUAAUCCCCAUACAUUACAUCAUUAGUUUUAGAUGUAGUGUUCCAUGAUUCAUUGUUUGUGCAUAACACCCAGUAAUAAAGUAUUUUGAAAUUAAGGUGCGCACAUUGUGUUUUUAAACUUUAUGCUGUUGCACAUUUAAUAGACUACAGUAUAGUGUAAAUUAACUUUUAUAUGCACUGGGAAACCAAAAACUUUAUUUGAUUCACUUUAUUGUGAUAUUUACUCUAUUGCAGUGGCCUGGAACCGAACCCACAAUAUCUCUGAGAUGGCAAGGAAGGAAGCAAGAGGAUCAAAGAGGCUGAGCAGCUUGCCCAAGAGAGAGAGCACAAGCAGGGGGAGAUGGGGCAGAGGGAGAAGCAGGUUCCCGCUGAGCAAGGAGCCCGAUGCGGGACUCGAUCCCAGGACCCUGGGAUCAUGACCUGAGCCGAAGGCAGAUGCUAAACCGACUGAGCCACCCAGGCGUCCCAAUAUGCUGAUAUCUUGAUCUGGAUAAACAACAACAACAACAUCAACAAACCAGCUUUCUGCAUAGACACCCC